This 610-nucleotide long non-coding RNA is filed under the name Physcomitrium patens. RNAcentral describes it as "long non-coding RNA (PPAT_LNC000879)". The record is from RNAcentral. Lineage: Eukaryota; Viridiplantae; Streptophyta; Bryopsida; Funariales; Funariaceae.
AUUGGUGACCUUUGAAAACUUAUUUGGGUUCUUUUAUUUGAUGUUUAGAGCAUAAAUUAUGUAAAUAUUAUAAAAAAAAAAGGAUUGAAGAAGGAUUUUGGUAGCAAAGGGAAUAAUUAAGGCACCAAUAUAGAUGAAUGGAGAUGAAUGAUGAAAAUUUCCAUUCCUAUUGGUCAAAAAUCAUGACCAAUAGGCUUUGAGGAGGCUGUCCGAGGCCAUAUUAGGGAUUAGGAUUAGUUAUUCAAGGCGUUCGAGCUUUGAAGGCUAGGAUCAAUAAGUUUAGGUUUUUGGCUAUGGUUUUGGUGCAAAUUUUGUAUGGUUUGGAGUUUAUAUGAAGGAGAUACAAGCGCUCAAAGUUAAGGUAUUGAUUUAGGAGCUAUUGUCACUCUUUUUAGCAUAACGCACGCGUAUAGAUAGCAAUCAAGGAUUGGCGAUUGCAACUAGAGAGAUCUUUUUUGCGGCUACACUUUUCACAUAUUUCUUAUUGGAUUCUAAGUUGGAAUAAAGGAGUUAUUGGAUUUUGAAGUGAGUGCAUGCAAUUUAAGGGUAGUAAGUGAUCCGAUUUACUAGUGGUUGUGUCUUGAGCUAUAUCUUGAGCAAUUUGAUAAGG